RNAcentral lists this ribosomal RNA (403 nucleotides) under uncultured bacterium. Its description in RNAcentral is "partial 16S ribosomal RNA". It matches the Rfam family "Bacterial small subunit ribosomal RNA", at positions 29 to 526 of the family's 1533-position model. The record is from RNAcentral.
AUUGAACGCUGGCGGCAGGCCUAACACAUGCAAGUCGAGCGAGCGGCGGACGGGUGGGUAAUGUAUGGGGACUGCCCGAUAGAGGGGGAUGACUACAGGCAACGGUGGAUAAUACCGCAUACUGUAGGAUACCACCGAGGGGCUUAGCUAGUAGGUAAGGUAAUGGCUUACCUAGGCGACGAUCCCUAGCUGGGCUGAGAUGAGGAUCAGCCACACUGGGACGGAGACACGGCCCAGACUCCUACGGAGGCAGCAGUGGGGAAUGUUGCACAAGGGGCGCAGGCCUGACACAGCCAUGCCGAGUGUAGGAAGAAGGCCCUAGGGUUGUAAAGUACUUUCAGUCGGGAGGCGUUACCGAAAGAAGAAGCACCGGCUAACUCCGUGCCAGCAGCCGCGGUAAUUC